RNAcentral lists this ribosomal RNA (223 nucleotides) under Enterobacter hormaechei subsp. hoffmannii. RNAcentral describes it as "partial 23S ribosomal RNA". It matches the Rfam family "Bacterial large subunit ribosomal RNA", at positions 1122 to 1343 of the family's 2925-position model. The record is from RNAcentral. Lineage: Bacteria; Pseudomonadati; Pseudomonadota; Gammaproteobacteria; Enterobacterales; Enterobacteriaceae.
UUUAAAGAAAGCGUAAUAGCUCACUGGUCGAGUCGGCCUGCGCGGAAGAUGUAACGGGGCUAAACCAUGCACCGAAGCUGCGGCAGCGACGCUUAGGCGUUGUUGGGUAGGGGAGCGUUCUGUAAGCUGUUGAAGGUGUGCUGUGAGGCAUGCUGGAGGUAUCAGAAGUGCGAAUGCUGACAUAAGUAACGAUAAAGCGGGUGAAAAGCCCGCUCGCCGGAAG